Dipodomys ordii (Ord's kangaroo rat) is the source of this 66-nucleotide non-coding RNA. The record is from Rfam. NCBI's taxonomy places the organism in Eukaryota, Metazoa, Chordata, Mammalia, Rodentia, Heteromyidae.
GGUUGGCUCAGUGGUAGAGUGCUUGCCUUGCAUGCAUGAGGUCCUGAGUUCUAUUCCUCAGCACCA